UGAACGCUAGCGACAGGCCUAACACAUGCAAGUCAGGGGCAGCACAAGGAGCAAUCUGAGGUGGCGACCGGCGCACGGGUGAGUAACACGUAUGCAACCUGCCUGUAAGCGGGGAAUAACCCGUUGAAAGACGGACUAAUACCGCAUAAUACUAAAUUACUGCAUGGUAAUUUAUUUAAACAUUUAUGGCUUACAGAUGGGCAUGCGCAUGAUUAGCUAGUUGGAGAGGUAACGGCUCCCCAAGGCAACGAUCAUUAGGGGUUCUGAGAGGAAGGUCCCCCACACUGGUACUGAGACACGGACCAGACUCCUACGGGAGGCAGCAGUGAGGAAUAUUGGUCAAUGGACGAGAGUCUGAACCAGCCAAGUCGCGUGCAGGAAGAAUGUCCUAAUGGAUUGUAAACUGCUUUUGCAGGGGAAUAAAGUGCAUCACGUGUGAUGUUUUGUAUGUACUCUGCGAAUAAGGAUCGGCUAACUCCGUGCCAGCAGCCGC
RNAcentral lists this ribosomal RNA (493 nucleotides) under uncultured bacterium. RNAcentral's name for it is "bacterial SSU rRNA". It matches the Rfam family "Bacterial small subunit ribosomal RNA", at positions 30 to 518 of the family's 1533-position model. The record is from RNAcentral.